AUGAGACUCAGCCUCCUCAUCAUUGCCGCGAUGGCCGUCCUAAGCACCGCGUCGGCAGCAGUCUACAAUGUUGGCGAACCGGGCGGCGCGUGGGACCUUACCACCAACUACGGCACCUGGGUAUCCUCCAGGAAGUUCCAACUCAGCGACCAGAUCGUCUUCAAGUACUCCCCUCAGGCGCAUGACGUCCUUGAAGUUAGCAAGGCCGACUACGACUCUUGCAGCAUCGUCAACCCUAUUGCGACCCUCAACUCCGGGAACGACAUCGUCACCCUCACCGCCGCUGGCACCCGCUACUUCAUUUGUGGGUUCCCUGGCCACUGCACUAGUGGCAUGAAGAUCAAGAUCGACGUCGUGCCUAGCUCCUCCUCACCAUCACCCGCCCCGGCUAGCGGCCCCAAUGCAAGCAACGCUCCUCCAACCACGCCUGUCUCUACCGCCACCUCCGUGAAGGCCACGGGGUUUGGCCUCGCCAUCCUGCUUGCCUUUAUCGGUUUCAUGGCUUGA
This 507-nucleotide ribosomal RNA is filed under the name Triticum aestivum (bread wheat). Its description in RNAcentral is "partial small subunit ribosomal RNA". The record is from RNAcentral. Lineage: Eukaryota; Viridiplantae; Streptophyta; Magnoliopsida; Poales; Poaceae.